CUCAAGGGGCUUACACUCUGGGAAGAUAGGUAACAUUGAAUAAAUGGCAAGAAACCAAUAUGUGAUUACAGAUCAUUGAUAAGUGCUGCAAAGGAAAACAAGAGGACUCUAUGAAGGAGAAUUACCAGGUAGAGGCUGCCUACUUUAGAUAGUGGUCAGGGAUGGUUUCUCUGAGAAGAGACAUUUAAGCUAGAACCUGAAGGAUGACAUAAAGCAGAGUCUCUACCUCUAUGUCCAUCAUUCAAUAAAUAUUUAGUCAAUCCUAAUGUGUGCCAGGCAGCAUUCUUGCUGGGAACACAGCAUUAAACAAAACAGAACAAAACAGACUAAGUUCCUCUUCUCAUGAAGCAGGGGCACAGAUCAUGGAAACCACUAUCAGAACUUGGGAUUUCAUUUAUGUCCAAUGUGAGUCAGGCAUCUCUCCUGGUGGCUGUCUUCCAUGUGGUGACUUAUGUAUCCAGGAUCCUUCUACUGUGUUUCUCCUCCAUUGCGAAGUCCUUCACUUCCAGCACCUGAGACAUUUUUUGGGUAUAUCUACAAGUGGCAUAUAUCACUUCUGCCCACAUUCACCUGGGUAGAACUCAAUCACAUUGUUUCACCUAACUGCAAGUGAGGCUGUGGAAUAUAGUCUCCCUAUGUGCCCAAGCAGAAGAAACAGGAUUGUGUGACUCUACAAUGUGUGAUUGCUCCUGGUGAAUCAAAAGGAUAAAGCUGCUGAUUCUGCAAUUUGAUAACCCAACCAUGCUGACCUCAAAGUGUAGUCAAUCCAUGAAGUUCCUCCCACCACAGCUCAUCCUGAACACUGCCCACCUGAGUCAUCAAGAAAGGUUUAAGUACAUUAUCUGUGCUCUGUUUAAUAUGUCCGUGAAGUGUGUCCUAAAUUUAGUUAUUUCUAGGACCUCUUUCUAGUUUGCAAGUAAGCCAGGUUCUACUGCUGUCAAGUGUUACUCAUGGCUAACUGAGGAAAAGGGGUUCAAAAACAUUGAGAAGACGAAAAGGAGGGAGAAGGCUGGGUUAAUGGGGACGGAGGUAAGGGGUGAGACCCCGGCUAAACAGUGAAGAUAAAAACAGACAUGUAAAUGAGAGAACCGGAAGAGAAGGUAAUGGUGAAAGUCAAUACGGGAAGGAAAGGGGUUGUAGGGGACAAACACUGAGAGGGCAAGAACUUGGAGUAGGUGAAACUAAGGUGAGCGAGGAGGCUGAAGAGAGGUCAGCUGCAGCGGGAAAGAGGGAAGGGCCCUUUAAGAGACACAUCAAGCCGCAGGUGUGGGCCACGAGGCUGGCGCAGGGCUGUCGCUUCACGCGCCGCAGACUCAUCCAGAAGCGCCUUGGGAGCUGCGGAGCCCUAGAGCCUCCAUCCGGGCAGCAAAGCAGCUCACGUGUCCCACCCGGGAAGGGCAGGAGUGGGCGAGGAAUGGUGGAGGGAAAGGAGGGAAAGCGGAGAAACAGGAGGGAGGGGGAAAGCUGCCGCUGCAGAAAAGAAACGAGUAAGCCCCUUUGUGCUUGGCCUGCGAGGUGUUUCCUUCCCGAGCAGACUUGAAGCUGUCACCUCUCAGUCUGGGUUUGGAAUAAAUACACUCGCCCACCGAGAGAUGAGGCGGCGCCUGGCCGCACCUGGGAGGUACCUGGUCGCACCUGGAAGUGCCUGGUCUCCCCUGGCAGGUACCUGGCC
This 1672-nucleotide long non-coding RNA is filed under the name Homo sapiens (human). RNAcentral describes it as "HSALNT0343797". Lineage: Eukaryota; Metazoa; Chordata; Mammalia; Primates; Hominidae. The record is from RNAcentral.